UGGUAUUGUAAUAUUUGGGCCAAAAUUCAUCUAGGUUUAGUUCAUCAGGGAAGCGUUAGUGUGGAUACCUAAUUAGGCGCUAACUGGAAAAUCGAUUUAUCAAGCAUCUCAAGCGUCUGGCUUCUUCAAUCUUGAUCUAAGCAACAACCACGCCUAAUUAAUGAAGAUGAAGAAGACGAGGCUUCUGCUUCUGUUGAAAGAUGAUCCGUGAUUAAAUUUAAAAAUCUUGAUCUAGUAUAAAGUAAACUCAGGGUUCUUUUCUCUCAUCCUGAUGGUGAUUGAGUUAAUCGGCCCUCCUAAAGUGCUAAUCCACUUACUGCUGAAGUGAAGUUGUUGAUCAAAGUUGUAGUUUUAUCGAUCCAGACUCAAACUGAAGUUGAUCAAGUUGUAGUUUUAUCGAUCUAGACCUACUAUAAGAUUCAUUAGUUUUCGAGGGUGUGGUUAUGGAUAGCCAACUUCAGGUUGUAUCCUUUUUGCUUUUACUGUAUCUUUUUGACUUUCAAUCUUUUUUUUUUCUUUAGUAUAAAUAUGAUUCUUAGUAAACUAGUAUUGGGUGCUCAAAGUAGAAAUCAAAAAAAGAGAGAACAACAUCUUACUAAUAAGUUACAAGGCUCUUUAAAUAGGAAUUUUGUUAGAGUUGAUGAACUUGAUAAUUCUUUAUUGAGUUACAAACUAUUGUAGGAAAUAUUGUUGGAUGAAGCCUAAAAAGGUGAACUUCUUUAGACAACUGUUCAAAUUAUGGAGUUUGUAAAGGAAAUGAACAUGUUUCUCAAUAAGUUUCAUAUUUUUGAAUAUGAAAAGUCAAUUUCUACUAA
Long non-coding RNA from Lactuca sativa (garden lettuce), 815 nucleotides. RefSeq lists it as uncharacterized. The record is from RefSeq and is a predicted model, not a curated record. Lineage: Eukaryota; Viridiplantae; Streptophyta; Magnoliopsida; Asterales; Asteraceae.